RNAcentral lists this small RNA (107 nucleotides) under Marmota monax (woodchuck). Lineage: Eukaryota; Metazoa; Chordata; Mammalia; Rodentia; Sciuridae. The record is from RNAcentral.
GCUGGGUGUAGUGGUGCACACCUGUAAUCCCAGCAGCUCUGGAGGCUGAGGCAGGAGGAUUGCAAGUUCAAAGGUACCCUCAGCAACUCAGUGAGACCCUGUCUCUA